Molecule: ribosomal RNA, 450 nt
Filed under: uncultured bacterium
Lineage: Bacteria
Description: partial 16S ribosomal RNA
Rfam family: Bacterial small subunit ribosomal RNA
Source: RNAcentral
GUAGGGAAUCUUCCACAAUGGACGAAAGUCUGAUGGAGCAACGCCGCGUGAGUGAAGAAGGUCUUCGGAUCGUAAAACUCUGUUGUUAGAGAAGAACGUGCAUGAUAGUAACUGAUCAUGUAAUGACGGUAUCUAACCAGAAAGCCACGGCUAACUACGUGCCAGCAGCCGCGGUAAUACGUAGGUGGCAAGCGUUGUCCGGAUUUAUUGGGCGUAAAGGGAACGCAGGCGGUUUUUUAAGUCUGAUGUGAAAGCCUUCGGCUUAACCGAAGAAUAGCAUUGGAAACUGGAAGAAUUGAGUGCAGAAGAGGAGAGUGGAAUUCCAUGUGUAGCGGUGAAAUGCGUAGAUAUAUGGAGGAACACCAGUGGCGAAAGCGGCUCUCUGGUCUGUAACUGACGCUGAGGUUCGAAAGCGUGGGUAGCAAACAGGAUUAGAAACCCUAGUAGUCC